Molecule: ribosomal RNA, 467 nt
Filed under: uncultured bacterium
Lineage: Bacteria
Description: partial 16S ribosomal RNA
Rfam family: Bacterial small subunit ribosomal RNA
Source: RNAcentral
GACGAACGCUGGCGGCGUGCUUAACACAUGCAAGUCGAACGGAAAGGCCCUGCUUUUGUGGGGUGCUCGAGUGGCGAACGGGUGAGUAACACGUGAGUAACCUGCCCUUGACUUUGGGAUAACUUCUGGAAACUGGGGCUAAUACCGGAUAGGAGCUCCUGCUGCAUGGUGGGGGUUGGAAAGUUUCGGCGGUUGGGGGUGGACUCGCGGCUUAUCAGCUUGUUGGUGGGGUGGGGGCUUACCAAGGCUUUGACGGGUAGCCGGCCGGGAAGGGUGGCCGACCAGAUAGGAUGGGACUGAGGCCCGGAACACAAUCGGACGGGAGGGAGGGGUAGGGUAGAGUGGAGGACGGAGGCAUGCUUGAUCAAGCCGGGGGGCGUGAGUGCGGCUUGCGGUUGGGAACCGCUGUCGCCUGUGACGAAGAGUGAGUGACGGUAAUGGGUAAAGAAGCACCGGCUAACUACGUG